UCAAGUGACUAAGUGUAUGUGGUGGAUGCCUUGGCGAUCACAGGCGAAGAAGGACGUAGUAGCUUGCGAUAAGCUGCGGGGAGCCGGCAAACGGGCAUUGAUCCGCAGAUUUCCGAAUGGGGGAACCCACCGACGCAAGUCGGUAUCACACACUGAAUACAUAGGUGUGUGAGGCGAACGGAGCGAACUGAAACAUCUAAGUAGCUCCAGGAAAAGAAAUCAACCGAGAUUGCGAAAGUAGCGGCGAGCGAAAUUGCAGCAGCCCAGUGUUCUGAUAGCACGAACGACAGCAGAAAGGUCUGGAAAGGCCUGCUAUAGAGGGUGAUAGCCCCGUAUGCGAAAUCGAACGUGUGGUACUAAGGGACCGAUAAGUAGGGCGGGACACGUGACAUCCUGUCUGAAGAUGGGGGGACCAUCCUCCAAGGCUAAAUACUCGUGAUCGACCGAUAGUGAACCAGUACUGUGAAGGAAAGGCGAAAAGAACCCCGGGAGGGGAGUGAAAUAGAACCUGAAACCGCAUACAUACAAACAGUAGGAGCCCGUGUAGUCGGGUGACUGCGUACCUUUUGCAUAAUGGGUCAGCGACUUACGUUUUGUGGCGAGCUUAACCGAGUAGGGGAGGCGUAGCGAAAGCGAGUUCGAAUAGAGCGAGAAGUCUCAAGGCGUAGACCCGAAACCAGAUGAGCUAUCCAUGGCCAGGUUGAAGGUGUGGUAACACACACUGGAGGACCGAACCGACUAGUGUUGCAAAAUUAGCGGAUGAGCUGUGGAUAGGGGUGAAAGGCUAAACAAAUCUGGAGAUAGCUGGUUCUCCCCGAAAACUAUUGAGGUAGUGCCUCGUGUAUUGCUCCAGGGGGUAGAGCACUGUUAUGGCUAGGGGGACAUGGCGUCUUACCAAACCAUGGCAAACUCCGAAUACUUGGAAGUAAGAGCACGGGAGACAGAGCACCGGGUGCUAACGUCCGGACUCAAGAGGGAAACAACCCAGACCGCCGUUUAAGGUCCCAAAUAUUGACUAAGUGGAAAACGAAGUGUGAAGGCUAAGACAGUCAGGAAGUUGGCUUAGAAGCAGCCAUCCUUCAAAGAAAGCGUAAUAGCUCACUGAUCGAGUCCUCAUGCGCGGAAGAUGUAACGGGGCUAAGUCAAUAACCGAAAGCGCGGAUUUGUACGAAAGUACAAGUGGUAGGGGAGCGUUCUGUAAGCCUGCGAAGGUGGUUCGAGAGGACUGCUGGAGGUAUCAGAAGUGCGAAUGCUGACAUGAGUAACGUUAAAGCGGGUGAAAAGCCCGCUCGCCGCAAGCCCAAGGUUUCCUGCUCUACGUUCAUCGGAGCAGGGUGAGUCGGCCCCUAAGGCCAGGCUGAGAAGCGUAGUCGAUGGGAAGCAGAUUAAUAUUUCUGCACCAUGUGCAAGUGCGAUGGGGGGACGGAGUGCGAAAGAUCAUCCGGGUGUUGGAUGUCCCGGUUUGUGAGUGUAGAAGGCCGACAGGCAAAUCCGUCGGCAGAUCUUCGAGACAAAGCAUCGAGGUUCUACGGAACCGAAGUGAUCGGAAGUGCUUCCAGGAAAAGCCUCUAAGCUCCAGCUUGCAUGUGACCGUACCGUAAACCGACACUGGUGGGCGAGUUGAAUAUACUCAGGCGCUUGAGAGAACUCGGGAGAAGGAACUCGGCAAAUUGACACCGUAACUUCGGGAUAAGGUGUGCCUUUGUAGCGUGAAGAGAGAAACACUCGGAGCGUGAAGAGGCCUCAGAGAAUCGGUGGCUGCAACUGUUUAUUAAAAACACAGCACUCUGCAAAGACGAAAGUCGACGUAUAGGGUGUGAUGCCUGCCCGGUGCUGGAAGAUUAAGUGAUGGGGUGAGAGCUCCUGAUCGAAGUCCCAGUAAACGGCGGCCGUAACUAUAACGGUCCUAAGGUAGCGAAAUUCCUUGUC
Molecule: ribosomal RNA, 1929 nt
Filed under: human gut metagenome
Description: bacterial LSU rRNA
Rfam family: Bacterial large subunit ribosomal RNA
Source: RNAcentral